RNAcentral lists this ribosomal RNA (433 nucleotides) under uncultured bacterium. RNAcentral describes it as "partial 16S ribosomal RNA". It matches the Rfam family "Bacterial small subunit ribosomal RNA", at positions 29 to 507 of the family's 1533-position model. The record is from RNAcentral.
AACGAACGCUGGCGGCAUGCCUAAUACAUGCAAGUCGAACGAUCCCUUCGGGCACAGUGGCCUCCGGGUGCGUCACGCGUGGGAAUCUGCCCUUCGGGUCGGAAUACCUCAGGGACACUUGAGCUAAUACCGGAUAACGUCGCAAGACCAAAGAUUUAUCACCGAAGGAUGAGCCCGCGUAGGAUUAGCUAGUUGUUGAGGUAAAGGCUCACCAAGGCGACGAUCCUUAGCUUGUUUGAGAGGAUGAUCAGCCACACUGAGACUGGGACACGGCCCGGACUCCUACGGGAGGCAGGAGUGGGGAAUAUUGGACAAUGGGCGAAAGCCUGAUCCAGCAAUGCCGCGUGAGUGAUGAAGGCCUUAGGGUUGUAAAGCUCUUGUACCCAGGAAGAUCAUGACGGUACCGGGAGAAUAAGCCACGGCUAACUCCGUG